Molecule: transfer RNA, 67 nt
Filed under: Marmota monax (woodchuck)
Lineage: Eukaryota; Metazoa; Chordata; Mammalia; Rodentia; Sciuridae
Description: tRNA.Ala
Source: RNAcentral
GGUUGUGGCUCAGCGGUAGAGUGCUCACCUAGCAUGUGCGAGAUCCUGGGCUCGAUCCUCAGCACCA